GACUCAAUCCACACUUUGCUGCAACUCAAGGUUAGAUUCAUCCAAGUAAAUAAUGAAAUGCAUCUUUAACUUGUUAUACAAAUAUACUGAGAGUAACAGACUUAUAAAUGAAGUAUCGAAUUAACUUAUAACAUACUCUCGAUUAUUGCUUGUUAAUCAUCAAAAUAACACUAUCAUCCUCAAAUUGACAUUGCAUAAUUCUUUGGGCAUAUGGCUUAGCUUGAAUCAAGUUCCUAGGAUUGGGUUAGACCUAAGGUCAGAAUCAUACAUGGACAAAUAGAAUUAAUUGAUCAAACCUAAUUGUAGUAACUAGAUUAGAUCAAGAAAAUUCUAGGUCAAUUUACAAUAGUUG
This 352-nucleotide long non-coding RNA is filed under the name Phoenix dactylifera (date palm). RNAcentral's name for it is "long non-coding RNA (PDAC_LNC010315)". The record is from RNAcentral. Lineage: Eukaryota; Viridiplantae; Streptophyta; Magnoliopsida; Arecales; Arecaceae.